RNAcentral lists this ribosomal RNA (495 nucleotides) under uncultured bacterium. RNAcentral describes it as "partial 16S ribosomal RNA". It matches the Rfam family "Bacterial small subunit ribosomal RNA", at positions 28 to 507 of the family's 1533-position model. The record is from RNAcentral.
GACGAACGCUGGCGGCGUGCCUAAUACAUGCAAGUAGAACGCUGAAGGAGGAGCUUGCUUCUCUGGAUGAGUUGCGAACGGGUGAGUAACGCGUAGGUAACCUGCCUGGUAGCGGGGGAUAACUAUUGGAAACGAUAGCUAAUACCGCAUAAUAGUAGAUGUUGCAUGACAUUUGCUCAAAAGGUGCAAUUGCAUCACUACCAGAUGGACCUGCGUUGUAUUAGCUAGUUGGUGAGGUAACGGCUCACCAAGGCGACGAUACAUAGCCGACCUGAGAGGGUGAUCGGCCACACUGGGACUGAGACACGGCCCAGACUCCUACGGGAGGCAGCAGUAGGGAAUCUUCGGCAAUGGACGGAAGUCUGACCGAGCAACGCCGCGUGAGUGAAGAAGGUUUUCGGAUCGUAAAGCUCUGUUGUAAGAGAAGAACGAGUGUGAGAGUGGAAAGUUCACACUGUGACGGUAUCUUACCAGAAAGGGACGGCUAACUACGUG